This 69-nucleotide transfer RNA is filed under the name Urocitellus parryii (Arctic ground squirrel). RNAcentral describes it as "Spermophilus parryii (Arctic ground squirrel) tRNA". It matches the Rfam family "tRNA". From Rfam's summary of the family: Transfer RNA (tRNA) molecules are approximately 80 nucleotides in length. Their secondary structure includes four short double-helical elements and three loops (D, anti-codon, and T loops). Lineage: Eukaryota; Metazoa; Chordata; Mammalia; Rodentia; Sciuridae. The record is from Rfam by way of RNAcentral. RNAcentral also lists the same sequence under 1 other name.
GGGGUUGUGGCUCAGCGGCAGAGUGCUCGCCUAGCAUGUGUGAGGCCCUGGGUUCAAUCCUCAGCACCA